Molecule: ribosomal RNA, 482 nt
Filed under: uncultured Coriobacteriaceae bacterium
Lineage: Bacteria; Bacillati; Actinomycetota; Coriobacteriia; Coriobacteriales; Coriobacteriaceae
Description: bacterial SSU rRNA
Rfam family: Bacterial small subunit ribosomal RNA
Source: RNAcentral
AGAGUUUGAUCCUGGCUCAGGAUGAACGCUGGCGGCGUGCCUAACACAUGCAAGUCGAACGAUUAAAGCACCUUCGGGUGUGUAUAGAGUGGCGAACGGGUGAGUAACACGUGACCAACCUGCCUCUUACAUUGGGACAACCAAAAGAAAUUCUGGCUAAUACCAAAUACUCCGCACAUAUCACAUGAUGUAUGCGGGAAAGCUUUUGCGGUAAGAGAUGGGGUCGCGGCCCAUUAGGUAGACGGCGGGGUAGAAGCCCACCGUGCCGAUGAUGGGUAGCCGGGUUGAGAGACCGACCGGCCACAUUGGGACUGAGAUACGGCCCAGACUCCUACGGGAGGCAGCAGUGGGGAAUAUUGCGCAAUGGGGGAAACCCUGACGCAGCAACGCCGCGUGCGGGAUGAAGGCCUUCGGGUUGUAAACCGCUUUCAGCAGGGAAGACAUCGACGGUACCUGCAGAAGAAGCCCCGGCUAACUACGUG